CCAGGCUGGUCUUGAACUCCUGUGCUCAAGCGAUCCGCCCGCCUCAGGCUCCCAAAGUGCUAAGAUUACAGACCUGAACCACCGCGCUCAGCUUAAAUGUAUCUCUUUGAAAUAUCAACAUAGAUUCUCUUCCGUUCCCUCAGUCUGUAUCUCUUUCAACAGGAGAAAAUUUGUAAUUUUUUUUACUGUGGAAAAUUUCAAACAUACACUAAAGAAGAGAACUGUGAAUGUGUCACUCUGCUUCAAAAACAAUCAAUUCUCACCAAUUUGGAUUAUUUUGCAGCAAGAUUUUUAAAAAAGUUUAGGAAAAUUAACGGCAGAGCUUUUCGUUUAUUUGGCAGAUGGGAAUGAUUUAGCUGAAAGAAAAACUGAUGAUAAUACUAAAAGUAUUUUUUAUAUUAUGCUUCUACUUAGGCAUAAUUUCGUGACAAAUGUUUGAAGUGCUGGUCAUGUUACCAAUACAUUUUUAGGUUUACAUUUGAAUUUUUCUAAUUUCUUUAUUUAUUCCUUUUUCUUGGAUCCCAUGCAUUCCUCUUUUGGAUCUCUGUUUUGGAUUUUUUUUCCUAGAAGAUAUCUUCUAAUAAUUCUUAGAAGCAAGAACAGAAAAGUUCUUGUUUGAUAAACUUUCAGUGAAUAAUAUUUUCCCUAUUAGUAGAAUUUUAGUUUAAAAUAAUUGUUUUUUCCUGGUAAAAAUGCUAAUUAGAACAACAUCAUUUUCUCUCUUAACUUCGAAGUCAUUACUUUUUGUCUUCUUGCAUCUGGGGUUACUUCUUCCAUUGUAGGUAAACUGUUUUUCUUAUUAGUUUUGGGGUGCCCAGUAAUUAAUUUAUAAGCAAAGUUGUUUGUAAUGUAUUAAACCAACAGAGAGAAAUUCAUAGUGCUGAUGUGCCUGAUUUUAAAUAUUUACUUGAAGACAUGCAAGCAUGAAUUAAGCAAUAAUUCAGAACUAAGGGAUUCAUGAUCUACAGAUUUCUCCCCUCACUCAGUUCUGAGCCCCCUAAAUGAGGCCUCCACAUGGGUUAUUUGUUGUCUGAGGGAUUCUACUCCUGUGGGAAGAGCUUUGGUCCCAUGGGGUCUCAAGCGAACAUUUUUCUUCUAUCUUUAUUCCUUUUCCACUUGUGAGGAAUGUAUGUUUCAAGCUCUGUCCUUCGCUCCCAAAAUUCAGAAGUGUCUUUUCUUGUUUAAUAAUUGCUUAAAGCAAUAAUUGUGCCAUUCUGUUCUAAUGCUUCUAACAUUGGCUAAAUAUUUUGCAAAGGGAGCAAGGGGGUAUGGCUGGGGAGAGGGAGGAGGGGGAAAGAGAGAGAGAGAGAAAAUCCCAUGCCAUUAGCUCCUUCCACUAGGGUUUCCCUCUUUCCAUUUAUUGCUUCAGAAGCGCUUCAUUAUUUUCCUUCUGUUCCCUUCUGUUUUGAAAUAAUGCCCCUUCUGUGUCACUUUUCUUGAAGAAUUUGUCCUCUUUCCAAUUGGCUGAAGCUAAAAACUGAAAAUAAUGGAAGGGCUAAAGUUAUAUUUUCAGUUUCUGGUAUUAAGGGUGUGAAUAAGUAAGAAAGAAAAUACAAUCUAGAUUUGUUUUUAAUGAGAUGGGUGCAGUUUUUACUUCUUCCCUAGUAGAAUAUCAGAGGGAGACAGAACUGAGAGCCACGAAAUGAGGCCUCAAGCCCGGAAUAACAAUAAUUGUGUUAUGUUGUCUACUCCGGACUCACUGCCUCCCAUUCCAGGAUCCAUACUGCUAUUUUCAUAACACUCUAAAUGAUUUCACAUCUGUAAGUAAUUAGUUGCAAAAUAAUCUGUCUUGGGACUGUGGGUGAGAGAAGGGUUGGGCAAUAGAAGUUCCAACUGUGGUCUAACAAUGUGUAAAUCAUGUAUUCCUUCAUUCUGCUUUGUCUGCUUAUCAACUGUAAAUACAUUACACUGGUAAAGGCUAGUCCUGCAAAACAUAGCCCUUUGAGAAGCUCAGUAUUGAUGUGAUCCGCCAUAAUGGCACCACCAGCUUCACAGUUUACAAAGCCCCGCCCCUGAUAUUAUCAGAAUUCUUUUUCACAGCAACCCUGAGAGAUAGGCGAGGGUAAGGUUUCCAUCUAAUGUGUGAGGAACCUGUGGCGAAGUCAGUAGAUGACAUGAUAUGUUUUGUUGUUUUCUUGCAAACAUUUUAACAGUUCAUUAACUAUAGUAAUGCGCAUACGGAGGAGUGCAGGAAAUUAUAACGACAGAGAUUGAUGAAUUGUCACAAAGAGAACACUCUCAUGGAAUCAGUACCCAGGUCAAGAAACAGAACAAUGUAACACUUUCGUGCCCCCUUCCAGUCACCACCCCCAGGGGUGACCACCAUGCUGACUUCUAAAUAGGUGACAGGAUUAUUCAAGUUAAUUUUGUAUGGCAUGUGGACCAGGACCUUGCAACACAUGGAUGUGUUAUAGAGGGUCUGCUUGAUGCAUUUAGGAAUACAUCUUUACAUGAAAAGCAAGGCACAUGAGGAAUCAAUAAGGGAUGAAAAUUGCCCAACGUGAAGAAAGCUCAUCUGAGGAGACUAAAUAACAGGCUCCAGUGGAUGAAGGCUGAAUGUGUGUGUGGAAUAUUAUAGGAAAUGUUAUCUAUUGCUAUCAAGAACUGAUGAAAAGUUUACAUAGAAAAAGGAAAAUAUGUUUCUUUCAUGUUUAGAAAUUUGUGGACGAGGAGAAAUCCAUUUCUUUCUGUGGACAUUUUAAAAUUUAGGCUGUAAGUGCUCAUUGAAAGAUAACUUUGGUUUAAUCUUAACCAGAGGCAAGGAUUUGUGAUUUUUCAAGAGUGUUUCCUUUCCCACCCUGUGCCUGGCUGAGCAUUUCUGUCCAUUUCCAUGGGAAGACUGCAUUGUGUUCCUUUAAGGGAAAUGAUGUUUCGCUGGAAAAGGGAGGCUGUGUCUAUUUUACUUCUUUCCCUAGGACAUGAGUGAGUCGCCAGACAUGAAGGCUUUGCCUGUGAAUGUGCUGCCUCUCUCUGGGAUGGGCAGAGCUGAAGACCAACAGUAAUUGCUCCAGCUGGUAUCUGCAUCUGGUGGAUUUUGGAAGCUUACUCUCCCAUGUCCUCAGCACUAUUCUGCUAUUCCUGGGUAUGGCAUCUCCAUACCAAUCUGAAAACAUAAGAGAGCUCGAAGAAAAGCAUAGACUCAGAUGCAAUAAUCACUUGGGUUCUCUGAGUGAACAGCCUUGGGUAGCCACCAUCCAGAGCAGUGGAGACAUCACCAGUCCCAGAAGUCCCUGAUGUCCCUUCCAGUCACGACUCUGUCCCCUCGCCUAGGUAAUCAAUCACUAGCCUGCCUCCUCUUCUAACAUCUUUAAAUACUUUUGACUUUUUUUUUCAAUUUUUUUUUAAUUUUGAAAAUUUCAAAUUAGGUUAACUGAAAUAACAGUACAAUGAACACUCAUAUUUUCCUUACCCAGAUUCACUGAUUGCUAACAUUUUGCCGUAUUUUCUUAUUUCUCUGAACCAUUCUAAAGUUGUAAACAUCAUGUUUUCCCCCAAAUGCUUUAUCAGUUAUCACCUUAAAACAAAGACGUUCUCCUGUAUAACCCCAAUACCAUUAUCACCCUCAUAAAAUUAAUCAUUGAUGAAGCAAUGCAGUUAUAAUGGUCAGAUUUCCCCAAUCAUUUCAAAAAUUGUAUAGUUUUUUAAAAACUACAUAUGAUAUAAUGAGUCAUCUCCUAUAAUUUAAUUGCUUGACUUCAUUUAGUCUCCUUUAAUCUGGAAUAGUCUUUCUGCUCUCUCUUUGUUUUUUAAUAAUGGCAUUUUUCAUGUCCAGGCUGUUUGUGUAAAAUAGCCUUCAAUUUGAAUUUGUCUGGCUGUUUCUGAAUGACUCAAUUCAGAUUAAAUAUUUUGGCCAAAAUACCCCUAGUGAUGCCAUGGGUUACAUUUCCUGAGGCAGGGUGUUUUUUUUCUCCCAUACCUCCAAGUUUACUUGUUAUUUAAUUAAGACUGGGGUGUUCACAUUUUCUCAUGCUUCAUUAUUGUUUGGGGAGGAAGAAUAUUCAUCAGCUAAAAGGUUUUUUAUGAUCUGCUUUCAUCUUCUAGUCACUUUGUAUGGAUAUGUUGCUAUUUACCCUUCAUUUUGAGAUGUUUUCUUUCCUGGAGCGGCCAGCAAUGACUGUCACAUGUAGACAGAGGUGAGGAGGUGAGGACCGGGUGAUACAUGAGGUUUCUGAAUUCAAGAGAUUCUUCUGUUUGUUUGUGAAGUGCAAUUUCCUUAAAAAUUGCCCUCCUUUUGGGGAGUGGCAGUUUGCCUUCUGGUUUUGUAAUUCUCUUGUUUUUCCAGUACUUUAAUUUCCAGUUCUUUCUUGUUUUUCUUCAACAUCAAAUCUCUGAAGGCCGCCCUUUCCAGUUAAUCCUUUUCCUACGGAACCCCUGGCUUCCCAAGAUACCUACCUCUGUUCCUGCAGACUUUCAAUCUCCUUCCUUGUGAUUCUCAGUAGCCAGUGCCCUAAUCCGCCACGUCUCACAACUGUGUUCAAUGUUUUCCCAUUUGGGAUGAGACAUUGUUUCCCUGGGGGGUGUUUUCCAUACCUACUCCUCUGCUUUCCUUUCUUCUUUUCUGCACUUUUUCUUCUGAAUUUGGUCAUUUAUUUACCUGUUUGGGCAUAAUUUGAAGUUUGGAGUAUUCUCUGUUCCGUAGUUAUGCUACAGGCAUGGGUUCUUGGUGGUUUUACUUGUUCAUUUUGUUGAUCUAUGUGGUUUUCGGGAAUAUUUAUGAAGAGAUUCAGAAUAUAGACUAUUUGUUUCCUUUUGAGUUUUAUUUCCUUUCCACCUUUUUUUCUGUUAUAAUUUUACAUAAUUGUCAUCAUGUGUCUAUUCAAUUUCUUUCUUUUUAACUUAAUAUCAUUUUAAUUUUCCCAAUUUCCUGUAGAUGCUAUCAUUAUUUGUCAAUGGGCCCAUAAUCUUUUUCCAAGUGGAGAUACCAUGCUAUAUUUUAUUACUUUUCUAUUGUUGGAUAUUUACAUUGGAAAAGGAUGAUUACAAGUGUGUUUGGCAUGAAGAGAUUUAGCUCAGGCCAUUUUGAGGGAUGAGCACUUGGCCCAGGAUAAGCAUAUAAUAAAUCUUUGUGGAAUCAAUGAUUCAAAAGAAAAAUAAAACUGAAUAACAUUGCCCAAAUGUGAAGAAAACUGAAGCAUCUUUUAAAAUGUCCAGUUAAAACAUAUAAAUCCCAUAUCCUAAAGGAAUUUCAUUAACUGUUUAGGACUUCACUUGGGGCCCACCAGAAAUAAAUGCUCUGGGAUUGUCAGAUUGAAUAAAGUUGAUAACUAAGGUGUUUGCUGGAGUCAGAAUGCAACAACUGUGUCUUAGAGUGAAGGUCAUGAAAAAGAACUUCAAUCUGAGGGUAACUUUUAUUCAGGGUGACUCUUGGGGAUAAGUAACCGCGUGACCUUGUCAGUUUGUUCUCCGUCCAUCGCAUGGGUGGUGAUGAUUGAACCAGAGAAAUGAAUGGGGCUUGUAGCGCUGGAUGUAUAUGGUCAGUCUCCAUAAAUCAUUUCUUCCAUUGUCUGAAUACAUUUGGGCAUCCACAGUAGUUUAUUUCCAAAGUAUAUAAAGAAGCAGAGGCCAAGGGUGUAAUCUUGGAGCUAUUUAAAUAGAGUGGUUCCAGUCAAGACAUGCAGCUGUUCCCAAUUAUUAGUCCAUAUAUUCUAGGUGCCAGGGAAAACCCACAAGUGUGUCACUCAAUUGAAUUUUAAAGUGACCUCCUGUUCAGAUGAAAAUCUCCUAGCUGUGUUUUUUUCCCUAAAGACUGGUCUCCUAUUGAACGAGUUAGCAACACUCUUGUUGUGAAUGAAUCAUUGCUACUGCCUAUAGAGGAAAUCUGGAUUGUUCCAUAGGGUUUUCAAGGAAUGUGAACUUACCUUCCAGGGAACCCUUUGUAAAUGCUGCUAGCCAAAAUCCUGAACACAAGGACAAGUUGGAAAUCUUCAAAAGGGCAAACUCUGAUGAGGGGGCGUGGUUUUAAUAUUUUAAAGGCAUGUGAGUUGUGUCAAAACAUGAUUCCAAGGAGUGCCCUGAUUCCUGGCACACUGUUUGAGAGUCCCUGUAGGCACACAGGACUUGUGGCUCAUUCUACUUAGGGAAGCAGAUAUUUCUCUCUCUGAAGCUUAUCACAGAUGACAAGAGUAGCGUGCUGCCAGAGCAGUCCCUGAAAAGUAAGAUCCCUUGGAGACGCAAAGGCCGUCUUCUAACACAAAACCUUACCAUGGGACGCCCAAGUGUCCCUUCCACCUGAUUUCAUCAACUGCCCAGCCAAAGAGCAAAAGCUCUGCAGUCACAUUGUCUGGGAUUACACCUUGGCUUUAUCACUUAUGUAGUGUGACCCUCAGGCAAGCUAGUUAGACUUUUUUUUUUUUAAAUCCCCAUUGUUCUAUCUGUAAAAUGGAGAUAAUAAACUACUAACUUAAUAGGGUUGUUGUGAAAAUUUAAUGAGGUUAUCCAUUUAAAGGGCUUAUCAAAUGUUCACGGCCAGUUUCCUCCUCCUUCUCCUUUCCAUCAUCACUGACCAUUGUCAUCCCUCACAAGGGAAAUAUGCAUGAAAUUAAAACCCUGCUUUUCUUUAUCUGAUUCCCUUUAUUGAAGUUAAUCCAUUUGCUGAACAGGGACUAUUUAAAUUAUUCAAGGCAAACUGUUUUCCUUUUUCUCCUUCCACAUGUGUAGAGAUUACAGGGAGAUGCCUGGGCCACUGUUUCACAAUCCACAAAGCUAAGGGUAUCGUUUUUUAGGCCAAUGGAAACAUCUCCUGGGGUCACUGGCCAAGCCAGAAUGUCACCCGCACAGUUUUCGAAACUGACUUUAGGUCAGUGAAAAAUUCCUCAUUGUAUGUACUUUCCUUAGGCAAUUUCAAGAAUUAAAGCUUGAGAAAAACACAUUUGGUGAAUAUCAAUGUAAAACAUGAAAGUGAUGUAUAUAAUUCUACAUGCCUCAGAGAGAUAUAGCAAUAGAAUAUUUAUUUCACAAAUAUGAACAAGGCCCAUUUAAUUAGUUGUCAGAGCUAGUGAGUUUAUGUCUUAAAGCACAUACGAAAGCUCUUUGAACAGCAGCACAGAGAGUUUAUUUAGUUGUUCUGUUUUACUGCGGUGAGGUGCCAAGCUGACUCCAGAGAAAUCUUGCCAUGUGGUGCCUAGGAGUCUAAGUCCUAAAUUGAAUGCCUCGGCUGCUCUCCGUCCUUCCCCUGUCAAGAGUAAGAAAGCAACCUCAAGAGAAGUGAGCCUUUUAUUUCACACAAGUGAAUUUCUGAUAGUUGAUGUUUAUGAUUGUUUUUACAUUACAGUUUUUAUGACUUAUUUUACUUAUUUUCUGUAAGUUUCCUCGAUUAUAUGUCCCUGAGUUCAGUUUUCCCCCUUUAUUCCCUCAGAGCUAACUGCAUUUGAUAUGCUAUCUUUUAUUAUGCAGAAGCCCUUUGAUCUCUACAGAGGAAAGGCGCCAUAUAAAUGCAGAAAUCCAUUAUAAUCAUACAGAAGAGUGGCUUUAUGGGUGAAGUCCAGCUUAGCAAAGCUGUUGGAUGGAAGAGUGUACUAGACUGUGGAAUGCUAAUGCCAAAGUGUCUACUCAGAUGGUGGCUGGUUUCAGGAGUUUAUUUUUCAAGUAUGCUUUCUUAUUGAAGUAAACAUACAUACAAAAAAGUGCACACAUCGUAAGUAUUCAGCCUGAUGAAUUUCAGCAUACUGAAUACACCCGUGUAACCAGCACCCACAGCCAGAAAAAGAACAUUGCAGUAUCCCUCAUGCCCCUUCUCAUUCCCUACACCCCCUAAGGUCACCACUGUUCUGACUUCUAUCACCAUAGAUUAUUUUCACUUGAUUUUGAACUUCAUAAAGCUCAAAUCACACAGAAUAUACUCUUUAGGACCUGGCUUUUUGUUCUCAGCACAGUGUGAGUGAUGUUCAUCUGUGCCGCAAUUCUUCAGGUCUUUUUGUUAUGUGAGAUUUUAUUGUACAAGUAUACUAUUUAACCAUUCUCCUACUGAAAGAUAUUUUAGUUGUUUCCAAUUUUUGGCUUACAUAUAGUGCCACUAUUAAUGACAUUUUUGUAUAUGUCUUUUGAUGAACAUAUGUAUGUAUUUAUUUUGGAUAGGUACAUACGAGUGGAAUUCCUGGGCCACCAAGUGCAUAUGCACAUGCUUGACGUUGGGAGAUAUUGCCAAACACUUUUCAGAAAUUGUUGUACCAAUUUUUGCUCCCAUCAGUGGUGUGUGAGUGCUCUGAUUGCUCCAUAACCUUACUGAGGGGCACCGGAUUAUCCGCCUGCCCCCAUUUGCCUCUUUGGCAUAGAGAUUAUUUUGAGCUAAAGGCCAUUAAGAACCAGCAGAUGCCGGAAAAGCUCUUAAAACAGGGCACGAGUUUUUCUGUUGUAAAGCAAAUUUACAUUUAUAAAGAAAAUUCCAUUUGUAGAAUGUCUUCCUCUCCCAUACCGGGAAGAGGAGGAUUCUUAACAACUCUUAUCAAUGGAGAAGGAGCCAACUUAAAUCCACUUAACAUACUUUAUUGAACAACCCUUGUUUACCAUACUUUUCCCAGUCAUCUUCCUGUAACUUGUCUCCCCUACCAAGAAGCCCCAAGCCUCUUUUCCUUUGUUUUGGCCUAAGAUGGUGUGUAAACCCAAGUUCUAACCACCCUUGGGACUCAUCACUGGGUACUCCCAUGUGUAAACCCCAUGCACAUGCGAAUAAACCUCUGUUUUUCUGUUGUUCAUCUGACUUUAGCCAGUCUAAUUUACAGUACCCCACUGGAGAACCUGAGAUGGUUAGAGGAAGAGAUUUUGUUUUGUUUUGUUUUCUACACUACUCACAUUGGCAUUGCCAGUCUUCUAAGUUUUAGCCAUUCUGUUGGAUGUGUAGGGGAGAAGCAGUAAUAUCUUUUCCUCACCUAUUGCAAGGUUCAUGGCUGAGACCUCUGUAAUAGAAACAGAUUAACAUGAGAAAAGCAUAACAAGUUUAUUUAAGUUUUACAUAACACUGAAGCAUCCAGAAAUGAAGCCCUGAAGAAGUAAAGAAAGCUGUGUAUUUUUAUGGACAGUCAUGCAGAAGUAUGAUUGGAGAAAAAAGGGUAUGAUCUACUGGCAACAAACGGGGGAACAUAGGCCUGUUUGUUCAGAUUCUUCUCUGUGUCUUCAUUUCUUAUAAGGAGGACUGAUGGAAUGAGGCUCUUGUAACUUACUUUAGAGGAAGGUUGAAUGAUUCUUUUAUGGCCUCCUUUAGGGGAGAAUGGCUGGAGAAGGUCAGAGAGAACUUCCCGCUUCUGCUGAUUUCUCAAAUGCCAACAUGCCAUAAUUUGGGGAUAGCAUGACCUGAUCCAUCUCAUUGUGGUUUUAAUUUUCACUUUUUUGAUAACUAAUGAUGCUGGUCACCUUUACCUAUGUUUAUUGGCGAUUCGUAUAUUUCCUUUUGUGAAGUGCCCAUUCACGUCUGUUAUCUAUUUUACUGUAAAGUUGCCUUUUCCUUAUUGGUUUAUGAGAGUUUUUAAAUUUAUUCUUGUGGGAAGUCCUUUGUCGGGUUUGCUAUCUGUAUCAUAGAUAACUCUUAUCCUUCCUGUGGCUUGGAUUUUACUUUCUUAAUAGUGUCUUUUGAUAACAAAAUUCUUAAUUUUAAUAUAUUCCAAUUUAUAUAUAUUUUUCCUGAAGGAAAAAUUAUUUAAUGCUUUUGUGAUCUAUUAAGAAAUUUUAUCCUCCUCCAAGUUGUGGAGCUAUUCUUCUGUGUUUUCUUCCAUAAGAGCUAUUGUUUUGUGUCUUAUAUUUAGAUCUACAAACCCUUUGGAAAUGAAUUUAUGUACAUGGUUUGGGAUGGGGGUCAAUAUUCGCCUUUAUUUCUACAUAGAUUUGCAAUUGCUCCAGCAUCUUUUAUUGAAAUUACCGCACUUUCUCCAUUGAAAUUUACUUUUGAAGCAAGUUCAAGGUCAAAAUCUUUAGUAGGGAGAUGACUCUCUUAUGCAUAGGUUUUCAGAUUGUUAUGCAUAGGCAUCACCAUGGAAUGUGUUUAAAAUAUAGAUACCUAGGCCACCCCCAGGGAUGCUGAUUCACUGCUGAUGAUUCUCAUGCCUUGAGGCCUGGCCCGUACUCCGAGGAUUGGUGCUUCACUCAGGACCACCCUCAGUCAAGCAGACUCUGCAUCUCUCUGCCUCAUUCAUCUAUGUACAGACACUGUGUCUCCUGUAGAUUAUUGUGGCAGCUACAAUCAGUUAACAAGUUAAUUUUGGGGAACUCUAUUUAUCCUACCAACUCAAAUAUUUUGCUCAAUUAAUAUUCUCUCAUUCCAUUAGUCAUUCAUCAGUACCUAUCAGUUAGUCAUUGACUUGAAUUUCAUGUGGGCAUUCCACCACUUCACUUGCCACCCCAUUCUGUUACUUAACAAAGUCUACUGCAAAGCACAUCCAUUGAGACAGCUUGAUUGUCUCCUUGUAUAGCUUGCCCCAUUGUCAUUUUGUCCUUCUCUUAGUAUCUGCGACAUUCAAUUAGCCUUUAUUGAACACCUACUCUUUGCCAAGCAUAUAAUCAACUUUUUAUCCUCAAGGCUAUUAGAGUCCCUUGUAGAAGUGUGGGCACUGACCAACUUCCUGACACAUGAGUACAGUGAACCGUGAUGUAUGCCAUAAAUGGGAGGGGUGUGUGCUUGCUCAGAGGAGGAAGCAAUUACCCCUCCUUGUAGAAGGUCAGAGAAGCCUAAGCAGUGGCGGUUGAGCUGGGUCUUAAAGAGUGUAUAGGAGUUCAGUGAAGGAUAAGUGGAUGAGGAUGAGGGUAUUUCAGGUAGAGGAAAAAGACAUAAAACAGCUCAGCAUGGUCGAGGAACUGCAGGUGAUUCUGCAUGUGUGCAUCCCCUCAGUAACUCAACAGCCCAUGUAAAUUGGGAGGCAGGAGCACUGUCCCACUGAGUUUCAAACAAAAGCCAUUCCAAACUGCCAGAUAAAAUUCCAGUUUAAAUUAGUGAAAUUUGUUGUGAGACAGCCUGUGCACUGCAGAUGCCUGUGGUCCUAGAAGAUAAAGUCUAUUUCCUUUUGAAGGACAUACAUGUAGAUCAACAUGGAAGGAGUAGCCCUUGACCAUCAGUGUAUGACUCCAUUGCAUAGUGCUUGCUGCAGAAUUGCCUUGCCUGUCAGAUGACACAGCCAGUGCUGAGGUGAGCUGGUAUCUACCCCGACCCUCCUUUGCCAGAAGUAAAGAUGAUGAGGGGGAGCCCCCUUACUGACCCUUGCUGGGGAUGGAUGGAUGGGUGAAGGCUUCUGACAACAGCCACCUUUCCCAAUGAGGUCAUGAGGACCUCAGUGCUGUAUGAUGGGGAAGGAUAUGGCUAUUUUUGUACCAUGGAUAAUAAAAGGGGAAAACCCUGCUAAUUUGACGUAAAAAAGAUUCAAAGUCAUAAAUAUCCCAAACUGAAAGCAAACCCCAGAAAGGCUAGUUUUGAAAUUGGAGGUAAUUAAUUCCUCAUGCGAUGUGCUGAAAUUCAACCCAGACAUCCCUUUUUUUUUUUAAUUUCUUUCAGACAGUUUACAGUCCAGUGGAAAGUAAAACCAUGCAAUCCCUUGGUGUGGUACAGUUUUACUAUGUGUCUCUUUUUAUUAUUUUGCUCAUUUUGAUCACUUUUUACGUGAACAUGCAUAUAAUGAAUUCAGCUCCUCUUGUACAUGAGAUUUAUUUUACCCCAAGGAUCUCUCCUCUCUCCAUCGGUAGUCAAAUUGUUAGUGCAUUUCUCCAUAAAAGAAAAGAUCUGCAGACUAGAGCAUCGAAGGUGAAUGAUGACAUUAAUUUGAAAUUUGGAUUUAUUUUUAACUCAGAAAAAAUGCUGCUGUUUUGCAAAUGAAACUGGAGUUUAAAGUCAAAUAAUAAGGUUUAAACUCCAUAUUGAGGGAAUCAUAAACCUCCAUAUUGCCCUGACCUUUGAGGGUCUUGUUCUUAAACUCUCUUCUAUAGUGAAGUCGAAAAUCUUAUUAAUUCCCAAAUGUGGUGCUCAUAUUCUCAACUCCAUACCUUUGCUUUAUUCAUCCUCCAAGGCUGGCAUAUCCUUACAGCCAUUCUUUUUUUUUUUUUUUUUUUUUUUUUGGUCAGUUGGAUUGUCCACUGCAAUUAAGCUGUGCAAGAGCAAAAUAAAAUUUGUUUGUUUGUUUGUUUGUUUCUCUAUAACUAUCUCAUGCUCUGCAGGAACCUCUACCCUUCUAGGUAAUAGGAAAGAAAAAGAUAACUAAGUACAUAAUCCACCUUCAAUCUUAGCCCCAGUAGUAAUUUUUCUAGAGUCUCUGUAGGUAAACCUGUCUUUAAUGGUGAUUGUUGAGCCUCUCUAAUUUCCAUUUCCUGUCCCCUGCUUGUCUUUAGAUAGUGGCUGGCUGUGUGGAGUGGGCACAGCGCUUGCUCUCAUGAGCCGGUCCCUGGAUCUACAUCAAGAUGGUGCCUGGAUCUGUGGAUGGACUCUGGUCCUACCUUGGCCCCUGCUGCACUGAAGCUCCUGGCAUUUCCAGGGAGCCUUGCCCCUGUGUGUUAUUGGCCUGUUUUUCUGAUGUCUGCAGCCUGACAAACAUGUCACCUGGUCUUUCUCAGCUGGGUGGCUCCUCUUUGUUGAUUCAAUGCCUCCUGGUCUUGCACCCACUCCCCGACUCAGAUACUCUGCUUGGGCUCUUCCAGGAGAUCAGUGUGCUCUGCCAGGUCCCAGGGCAGACCUGCUGGCUCUCAGCUUGGCACUGAGGAAUGCUCUGGAGUAAACACUAGCCCUCCCCACCUGCUACAUGCUCAGCCCUCUCCCCUCUGCCGUGUUGCCUCAUGUCUCAGUCAUUUCUGAUUCCUCGUUACCUAGCAGAAUGUCUGGCACUUUUGCUCAGUAAGAUGCUUUUGAAAUUGAACUGGAUUGUGAAUUCCUUUCAGUGAGUGGUCCAUGCUUUAUUUGGCAAAUAGAUGCCAAUGACUACUAUUUUCUCGAAAUUUUAUAAAGUUAAUUAUUGAUACACCCAAAGCAGAGGGAUCUUCUGAUCCCCAAAGCCUGGCUUUCAGUGUUGUUUUAACCCUUCUAAAAUCUCAAGUUUCUCUAAUAAAAACCACGAUAGUCUGAAAUGCUGGAAUUUGGAAUUUAUGCCUUCCUAGAGUGCUGAUACCGAAAUUUUAAGGAAUGUAGGGAAAAAAAGGAAAUAAAAAGUCCCCCAGAGGUUGCUGGAAUUUUUAGUUUUAUUUGAACAUAUUUGGUGGGA
This 13160-nucleotide long non-coding RNA is filed under the name Homo sapiens (human). RNAcentral's name for it is "HSALNT0340192". The record is from RNAcentral. Lineage: Eukaryota; Metazoa; Chordata; Mammalia; Primates; Hominidae.